RNAcentral lists this ribosomal RNA (468 nucleotides) under uncultured bacterium. RNAcentral's name for it is "partial 16S ribosomal RNA". It matches the Rfam family "Bacterial small subunit ribosomal RNA", at positions 28 to 507 of the family's 1533-position model. The record is from RNAcentral.
GACGAACGCUGGCGGCGUGCUUAACACAUGCAAGUCGAACGGAACGGCCUUGCUUUUGUGUGGUGCUCGUGUGGCGAACGGGUGUGUAUCACGUGCGUAACCUGCCCUUGACUUUGGGAUGCCUUCAGGAAACUGGGGCUACUACCGGAUAGGAGCUCAUACUGCAUGGUGAGGGUUGGAAAGUUUCGGCGGUUGGGGAUGUACUCGCGGCUUAUCAGCUUGUUGGUGGGGUAGUGGCUUACCAAGGCUUUGACGGGUAGCCGGCCUGAGAGGGUGACCGGCGACAGUGGGACUGAGAGACGGCCCAGACUCCUACGGGAGGCAGCAGUGGGGAAUAUUGCACAAUGGGCGGAAGCCUGAUGCAGCAACGCCGCGUGCGGGAUGACGGCCUUCGGGUUGUAAACCGCUUUCGCCUGUGACGAAGCGUGAGUGACGGUAAUGGGUAAAGAAGCACCGGCUAACUACGUG